Molecule: long non-coding RNA, 340 nt
Filed under: Mytilus galloprovincialis (Mediterranean mussel)
Lineage: Eukaryota; Metazoa; Mollusca; Bivalvia; Mytilida; Mytilidae
Source: RNAcentral
UUUAAAUACAAUAAAUGUUGGCAAAGUAAGAUCUAUAAAUAAGUCAACAUGACCGAAAUUUUCAGUUGACCCCUUUAAGAGUUAUUGCCCUUUAAAGUCAAGUUUUAACCAUUUUUUCGUAAAUCUUAGUAAUCUUUUACAAAAAUCUUCUCUGAAACUACUGGGCCAAGUUAAUUAUAGAUAGAGAUAAUUGUAAGCAGCUAGAAUGUUCAGUAAAGUAAGAUGAACAAACACAUCACCAUCACCAAAACACAAUUUUGUCAUGAAUCCAUCUACGUCCUUUGUUUACUAUUCACAAAAACCAAGGUGAGCGACACAGGCUCUUUAGAGCCUCUAGUUU